AAUGAGAGUGGAAGUGAUGUGUGUGGAAGCUUUAAGAGCCUGUACUUGAUGUGCAGUGCUUUCUCUUUUCACUUUGCCACCGUAACCACUGCCUUCCAGAUAGUGACUGCUCCGUCAGCUUGAGUCUUGGGGUGAGGAGGAUGCAGACCAGAGGACCUCGCCAGCCUGCAAUGGACGUACAGAGUUGGAGGUCCCUCUAAUGGCUCUCUCGAUGUUGGUUGUUCCAGAAUCCGCUUUAUGUUGUUGUUCUGUCUUCAAUGAUGGAGACUUUGUAGCCAUGCCUGAAGCCUCCUGCAUGGACCAUACACUGGAUGUCCCUGGGGAGCCACCAUAUUUCCUAAUGAAAUGGACAGACAUGGCCAGAACCUCCUCCUCCACGUGGGUAUGAUGCCUGGAGUUGCAGUAGCCAUAUUAAAACCAUGGGGCCUCAAGCCGAGGAGGAGAAAUCCAGUAAAUGAAGGAAGACAAGAUGGAAAGCUAGAGUGAGCCUAUGUUCUCAACAGCAUUGUGAGCAAUGUAAACAAUGUCAGUAAUCACCCAUCUUCUUGCUAUGUGACAAAAAAAUAAAACCCUAUUUAUUUAAGCCACUUGUACUUAUAUUUUCUGGUACUUGCAGCCAGAAGCAGCCUAUCUGGUAGCUUCUGCCUCAUGCCUGCAGUGUAGCCCCACUGGAUAAUUUAUCAUUACCCCAAACAUCACACGCUUUCCUACCAUCCUAUCUUUUCUCCACUUAGCUUUGCAUAUGGCAAGUGUUAAUAAACACUAUAAAAUGAAUGAUGUGAACUGGUUGAUGAAAUUUUAAGUAAAAUAAAUGGUCCACGACUCGAUCAAUCCAUCAAAAAUUAUUCACUGGCUCACUAUGAUAUGCAUGGCAUGAUGCUACAGUUAAUUUAAAUUUUGAGCUUUCAUUUAAUCAGAAUCAUUCUAUCCUUUCCAAAUGACAACUUCUUGUACUUUGUUUUUAUAAAGAAACAAAAGGCCUCAAUACCAGUUUGAUACACAGGAUGUUUUUUUAGAGGACAGGAACCAGCUCUCCUGCUGUGUUUUAUAGAGAGUCUAGCUCACUGCUGGCACUCAGUGAAUAUUAAAUUAUAAUGAUACUGCUAUGGAUAUCAUUCAGGUUCUCCGACACUGUUACAACUUUUAGUCUGUUUUUGAAGUAUGUGAGAUCCUAUAAUAAAAAUGUUUUAUGGAAGUGAAUGCACAUUACAUACAGUUUGUCAGUCAGCUUAGCCAGGUCACAUUGGGAAUGUGUUGGGCUCAAAUAAAGAUAUAUUUUAAAGUCUAUGUUGGUGUGAUUCAACUUCAGAAGUAUAAAGUUUCUAAUUUAUUAUAAUAAAUUACUCCUCAAAAACA
Camelus dromedarius (Arabian camel) is the source of this 1356-nucleotide long non-coding RNA. RefSeq lists it as uncharacterized. NCBI's taxonomy places the organism in Eukaryota, Metazoa, Chordata, Mammalia, Artiodactyla, Camelidae. The record is from RefSeq and is a predicted model, not a curated record. The transcript is spliced from 3 exons.